RNAcentral lists this ribosomal RNA (523 nucleotides) under uncultured Glomus. RNAcentral's name for it is "SSU rRNA". It matches the Rfam family "Eukaryotic small subunit ribosomal RNA", at positions 569 to 1093 of the family's 1831-position model. The record is from RNAcentral. Lineage: Eukaryota; Fungi; Glomeromycota; Glomeromycetes; Glomerales; Glomeraceae.
AGCAGCCGCGGUAAUUCCAGCUCCAAUAGCGUAUAUUAAAGUUGUUGCAGUUAAAAAGCUCGUAGUUGAAUUUCGGGAUCAAUACGUCGGUCGUGCCUCCGGUACGUACUGGUGUUGUUGAUUUCUCCCUUCUGAUGAGCCACGAUGUCAUUAAUUUGAUGUUGUGGGGAGUCAGGACUGUUACUUUGAAAAAAUUAGAGUGUUUAAAGCAGGCAAACGCUUGAAUACAUUAGCAUGGAAUAAUGAAAUAGGACGUUCGAACCUAUUUUGUUGGUUUCUAGGAUCAACGUAAUGAUUAAUAGGGAUAGUUGGGGGCAUUAGUAUUCAAUUGUCAGAGGUGAAAUUCUUGGAUUUAUUGAAGACUAACUACUGCGAAAGCAUUUGCCAAGGAUGUUUUCAUUAAUCAAGAACGAAAGUUAGGGGAUCGAAGACGAUCAGAUACCGUCGUAGUCUUAACCAUAAACUAUGCCGACUAGGGAUCGGAUGAAGUUAAUUUUUUAACGACUCAUUCGGCGCCUUACGG